Molecule: ribosomal RNA, 820 nt
Filed under: uncultured crenarchaeote
Lineage: Archaea; Thermoproteati; Thermoproteota
Description: bacterial SSU rRNA
Rfam family: Archaeal small subunit ribosomal RNA
Source: RNAcentral
CCCGACUGCUAUCAGAGUAGGACUAAGCCAUGCGAGUCGACGUAGCAAUGCGUGGCGAACGGCUCAGUAACACGUAGUCAACAUGCCCAGGGGACGUGGAUAACCUCGGGAAACUGAGAAUAAACCAUGAUAGGUCAUGAUUUCUGGAAUGGAUCAUGGCUCAAAUCUACAUGGCCCCUGGAUUGGACUGCGGCCGAUCAGGCAGUUGGUGAGGUAAAGGCCCACCAAACCUAUAACCGGUACGGGCUCUGAGAGGAGAAGCCCGGAGAUGGGCACUGAGACAAGGGCCCAGGCCCUAUGGGGCGCAGCAGGCGCGAAACCUCUGCAAUAGGCGAAAGCCUGACAGGGUUACUCUGAGUGAUUUCCGCUAAGGGGAUCUUUUGGCACCUCUAAAAAUGGUGCAGAAUAAGGGGUGGGCAAGUCUGGUGUCAGCCGCCGCGGUAAUACCAGCACCCCGAGUGGUCGGGACGAUUAUUGGGCCUAAAGCAUCCGUAGCCGGUUCUGCAAGUCUUCCGUUAAAUCCAGCCGCUCAACGGAUGGGCCGCGGAGGAUACUACAGGACUAGGAGGCGGGAGAGGCAAGCGGUACUCAGUGGGUAGGGGUAAAAUCCUUUGAUCCAUUGAAGACCACCAGUGGCGAAGGCGGCUUGCCAGAACGCGCUCGACGGUGAGGGAUGAAAGCUGGGGGAGCAAACCGGAUUAGAUACCCGGGUAGUCCCAGCUGUAAACGAUGCAGACUCGGUGAUGGGCUAGCCUUGUGCCAGCCCAGUGCCGCAGGGAAGCCGUUAAGUCUGCCGCCUGGGGAGUACGGUCGCAAGACU